CCUACGGGAGGCUGCAGUGAGGAAUAUUGGUCAAUGGACGAGAGUCUGAACCAGCCAAGUAGCGUGAAGGAUGACUGCCCUAUGGGUUGUAAACUUCUUUUAUGUGGGAAUAAAACAUGGUGUGCAUACCCUCUUGUAUUGACCAUACGAGUAAGGAUCGGCUAACUCCGUGCCAGCAGCCGCGGUAAUACGGAGCGUCCGAGCGUUAUCCGGAUUUAUUGGGUGUAAAGGGAGCGUAGGUGGAUUGUUAAGUCAGUUGUGAAAGUUUGCGGCUCAACCGGAAAAUUGCAGUUGAAACUGGCAGUCUUGAGUCCCGUAGAGGUGGGCGGAAUUCGAGGUGUAGCGGUGAAAUGCUUAGAUAUCACGAAGAACACCGAUUGCGAAGGCAGCCCCCUGGACUGCGACUGACGCUGAUGCUCGAAAGUGUGGGUAGCAAACAGGAUUAGAUACCCCUGUAGUC
This 460-nucleotide ribosomal RNA is filed under the name uncultured bacterium. Its description in RNAcentral is "partial 16S ribosomal RNA". It matches the Rfam family "Bacterial small subunit ribosomal RNA", at positions 338 to 795 of the family's 1533-position model. The record is from RNAcentral.